RNAcentral lists this ribosomal RNA (492 nucleotides) under uncultured bacterium. RNAcentral describes it as "partial 16S ribosomal RNA". It matches the Rfam family "Bacterial small subunit ribosomal RNA", at positions 29 to 506 of the family's 1533-position model. The record is from RNAcentral.
AGUGAACGCUGGUGGUAGGCCUAACACAUGCAAGUCGAACGGCAGCACAGUAAGAGCUUGCUCUUACGGGUGGCGAGUGGCGGACGGGUGAGGAAUACAUCGGAAUCUACUUUUUCGUGGGGGAUAACGUAGGGAAACUUACGCUAAUACCGCAUACGACCUACGGGUGAAAGCAGGGGAUCUUCGGACCUUGCGCGAUUGAAUGAGCCGAUGCCGGAUUAGCUAGUUGGCGGGGUAAAGGCCCACCAAGGCAACGAUCCGUAGCUGGUCUGAGAGGAUGAACAGCCCAAACUGAAAUGGAGAAACGUUCCGAACCCUUAGGGAGGCAGGAGUGGGGAAUAUUGGACCAAUGGGGGAAGGCCUAUUCAGGCCAUACGGGGGGGGUGAAGAAGGCUUUCGGUUGGUAAAGCCCUUUUUUUGGGAAGAAAAAGCGGCAGGUUAAAACCCGGUGGUUUGACGGGUACCAAAGGAAAAGGCACCGGCUAAUUCCGU